Long non-coding RNA from Girardinichthys multiradiatus, 945 nucleotides. RefSeq lists it as uncharacterized. The transcript has 2 exons. The record is from RefSeq and is a predicted model, not a curated record. NCBI's taxonomy places the organism in Eukaryota, Metazoa, Chordata, Actinopteri, Cyprinodontiformes, Goodeidae.
ACCUGUUUGCUCGGUAAGCAAACUGCAGGUGGUAUUGUUUGUGCAGAAGGUCUUGGUCUGCACACGUCCUCACAGAAACAGAUGUAUGAUGUCACCACCUCCAUAAAUUGGUUUAAAUCAGGUUAAAAUCUCUGCAUGAAGGAGCAGAUCCAUCAGAAGAACCAAACGGUUCCACAACCUGCUCCAUGUUCAAAUUCCAGAGACUUUUCCAGGAGAGUUGCACAAUCCGAACUGCCCACAUGAACACACAGGAAGUGAACGUUUUCUGCCCUGAAAAUUCCCUGAUCUUAGAGCAGUGAACUCAUCGAGUCCAGUAGAAACCAAGCCCAGGCCUGCCUGACACCCAGAGUGAACUUGUUUCACUGGUCGAAACUCAGAGGGGAAGUCGUUUUUUCAGAAAUAUCCCAUCUAAUAUAUUUUCUUUGUUCUGGUCCAGUAAACCUUGUCUGUGGGUUGCUGAUGGGAAACAUCUGGACCGCUUCAACAAGCUUCUGAUGCUAAUAUUUCAUCCUGUUUGGUAUAUCGGAUCAGAACGCUGUCCUUUCUCUCACAGACCUGUGCUUCCCUGGCUUUGAAGCUGCAAAUCACCUGGAGUCCAGUUUUUUCCCAACGUUCCAGGGCAGUUCUCCUCAGCUGGGUCCAUGACAUUCAGCCAGACUGCCUCAGAGAUAAGGACAGGAGCUCCAUCAGCCAGAGGAGCUGCUGCUCCUCGCAGGACAGAUUCAGCACUGGAGAGUGUUGCUGGCAAGAUGAAUGGUUUCCCUGCUGGACCUGUUACCCUGGCAACCAUGGAUGGAUGGAUACUUUCUGUUGUGGACAUGAGUCUGCAGUUCUUCCCACCAAAACAGCAGAAUUCUGGACUGUAACAUGAUGGUUGUUUUUGAAUUUCAGUUAUCCUCAGCCAGGCUGAUUUAAUCCGGCAAAAUAAAAAGAUACAACAUAUGA